UACAUGCAAGUCGAGCGGACAGAAGGGAGCUUGCUCCCGGAUGUUAGCGGCGGACGGGUGAGUAACACGUGGGUAACCUGCCUGUAAGACUGGGAUAACUCCGGGAAACCGGAGCUAAUACCGGAUAGUUCCUUGAACCGCAUGGUUCAAGGAUGAAAGACGGUUUCGGCUGUCACUUACAGAUGGACCCGCGGCGCAUUAGCUAGUUGGUGGGGUAAUGGCUCACCAAGGCGACGAUGCGUAGCCGACCUGAGAGGGUGAUCGGCCACACUGGGACUGAGACACGGCCCAGACUCCUACGGGAGGCAGCAGUAGGGAAUCUUCCGCAAUGGACGAAAGUCUGACGGAGCAACGCCGCGUGAGUGAUGAAGGUUUUCGGAUCGUAAAGCUCUGUUGUUAGGGAAGAACAAGUGCGAGAGUAACUGCUCGCACCUUGACGGUACCUAACCAGAAAGCCACGGCUAACUACGUGCCAGCAGCCGCGGUAAUACGUAUGUGGCAAGCGUUGUCCGGAAUUAUUGGGCGUAAAGGGCUCGCAGGCGGUUUCUUAAAUCUGAUGUGAAA
Molecule: ribosomal RNA, 564 nt
Filed under: Bacillus australimaris
Lineage: Bacteria; Bacillati; Bacillota; Bacilli; Caryophanales; Bacillaceae
Description: bacterial SSU rRNA
Rfam family: Bacterial small subunit ribosomal RNA
Source: RNAcentral